CCUACGGGCGGCAGCAGUGAGGAAUAUUGGUCAAUGGGCGCGAGACUGAACCAGCCAAGUAGCGUGAGGGAGGACUGCACUGCGGAUUGUAAACUUCUUUUAUAAGGGAAUAAAGUGAGGCACGUGUGCCUGUUUGUAUGUACUUUAUGAAUAAGCAUCGGCUAACUCCGUGCCAGCAGCCGCGGUAAUACGGAGGAUGCGAGCGUUAUCCGGAUUUAUUGGGUUUAAAGGGGGCGUAGAUGGGUUGUUAAGUCAGGGGUUAAAGUUUGCGGCUCAACCGUAAAAUUGCAAUUGAUACUGGCAGUCUUGAGUACAGUUGAGGUAGGCGGAAUGCGUGGUGUAGCGGUGAAAUGCAUAGAUAUCACGAAGAACUCCGAUUGCGAAGGCAGCUUACUAAACUGUCACUGACAUUGAUGCUCGAAAGUGUGGGUAUCAAACAGGAUUAGAUACCCUAGUAGUC
RNAcentral lists this ribosomal RNA (460 nucleotides) under uncultured bacterium. RNAcentral's name for it is "partial 16S ribosomal RNA". It matches the Rfam family "Bacterial small subunit ribosomal RNA", at positions 338 to 795 of the family's 1533-position model. The record is from RNAcentral.